GGUGUGACUGCGUACCUUUUGUAUAAUGGGUCAGCGACUUAUAUUCUGUAGCAAGGUUAACCGUAUAGGGGAGCCGCAGGGAAACCGAGUCUUAACUGGGCGUUAAGUUGCAGGGUAUAGACCCGAAACCCGGUGAUCUAGCCAUGGGCAGGUUGAAGGUUGGGUAACACUAACUGGAGGACCGAACCGACUAAUGUUGAAAAAUUAGCGGAUGACUUGUGGCUGGGGGUGAAAGGCCAAUCAAACCGGGAGAUAGCUGGUUCUCCCCGAAAGCUAUUUAGGUAGCGCCUCGUGAAUUCAUCUUCGGGGGUAGAGCACUGUUUCGGCUAGGGGGUCAUCCCGACUUACCAACCCGAUGCAAACUACGAAUACCGAAGAAUGUUAUCACGGGAGACACACGGCGGGUGCUAACGUCCGUCGUGAAGAGGGAAACAACCCAGACCGCCAGCUA
RNAcentral lists this ribosomal RNA (451 nucleotides) under Klebsiella quasipneumoniae subsp. similipneumoniae. RNAcentral's name for it is "partial 23S ribosomal RNA". It matches the Rfam family "Bacterial large subunit ribosomal RNA", at positions 590 to 1041 of the family's 2925-position model. Lineage: Bacteria; Pseudomonadati; Pseudomonadota; Gammaproteobacteria; Enterobacterales; Enterobacteriaceae. The record is from RNAcentral.